This 2075-nucleotide long non-coding RNA is filed under the name Equus caballus (horse). RNAcentral describes it as "lncRNA (ENSECAG00000046972.1)". Lineage: Eukaryota; Metazoa; Chordata; Mammalia; Perissodactyla; Equidae. The record is from RNAcentral.
GUCAGGGAAGGGGACAUUUGGUAGGAAAGGAGGGACAAUCUACAGGGAGCCUGCACCAGUCUGCUCCAGGCAGUGGCCCGGCCAGCGCCUCCUGCUUUUCUGUGUCUGGUGGAGCUCAGGCCUCGAGAGGAGAGGCAAUGGGCCAAGAUGAAGAGACACAAGCGGCCGCCUGGAGGAACAGGGCCUGCGGGGGCUUCGCUGCCAGGCGCCCCUCACGCUGGACGGGAACCGCUGAGACAGAGAGGAGGGGUCCCAGCGGGGAGGCACAGAGGACCAGGCCAGAGUUCACAGGGAUGAGCUGGCAACCCUGCCCCUCCGGACCCCCAGAUGCUGGGGAAAGUGCAACGGGCAUCUUCGGAAAUCUUGGAGACAUUUUCCACCCAGGGAUGCAGACAGGUGUCACUCCCACCUUCGCAACAACAAAGAUUCCGGACAAACUCAUGCCUGAGUCUUCCUAAACUCCCAGAAUGCUGAGGUCAUGUGUGACCAGUGGUCUGAGGUCAAAGGAGAGAUGGGUGCCCUCGGGGAGGCGGUGGGAUGGCAGAUGCAGCCGGCACAGUCGGAAGAGGUCAGAUAGAGACACGGCAAGAACGUGGGCCCUGAGCCGAGGGGAGCUUGCUGCUCGUGGGCCUUCCCUCCACAGACUUGGAGAGAGGCCCGAGACACCUGGGAGGGGACCAACAGCAGCCCCUGAGGGGGGCACAUGGCAAGGCUGGGCCCUUCUCCCCUUUAAUCCAUGGGAGAAAUGCAACAAACACUGCCACCCUAAGGGCACUGUGGAAGGCGUUUUGGGGUUGGGGGACAUAAAGACAAUCUCUGUCCCUGGGCAAGAGGCGGGAGGGCGCUCUGGGCCCGGACAGCAGAGACCCCUGCUCCUGGGGGAGGCACAGCAUCACUGAGCAGACCCCACCCCAAGACGCAGGGACAUCCCACCUGCUGGGAGUGCAGGAGUUUUGGUCAUAAAUCAUAUCUCAAUAAAACUGAUUAGGAGAAAAUGAUGAAUGGAGAUGACAGGCAAAGGAAAGGUAACAUACACACAAUUGUAAUCCCCAAAGGAAAAAACUAGAAAAAUGGACAAGAAUAAGUACUGAAAAAGGUGAGUCAGAAGUACCUUUCAGGAAGCCAGCUCUGGGCUAUCACUGUGAGGAGGUCCACAGGCCCAUUCUCCAGCAGAACAACAAUAACUGGAGGAAAAAAAUUUUAAGUCCCUGGGAAUAUUCUAAGGGCAUAGAGCACAUGAAGCCGGGGGCUUCGUUCCUCCAUCCAGCCCAGCCACAGGGUGGAGACCCUCCCUGGGCACAGCAGGCCGGGCACACGCAGCCCGUCUCACCUUUGCUCCACUCACCUGUGGGGUCGGGCUCCACGAGAGGCAGGUGGAGAUGCCCAGAGGUGCCUGCCCCUGCCCAGGCCCUGCUCACAAAGUAAGAACGUACCUCUGAGGGGAGUGGGCCACUGCCCCGCCCGCCUGCAGAGUGACAGGCCCUCCCAGGGAAAGGCAGUCUGUGAGAAGGGAGCUCCCAGGCCCUCCCCAGAGGAACCGGCUUUAUCUGAACCAGAGUGUGGGGAGGUUCGAGCCUGUGGGUGCUCUUGAAAUCAAUGGGGGAUUUGGUGACAAGCAACUGAGAGGAGACUGUAGCUUCUUUGGAGAAACUAGCUCAACCAUAGACCAGCUGGUUUCCUAGAGAGGACACGGGAAAGAGGUAAAUAAGAAGAGAUCUCCUGGGGUCGGAACAAGCCGCAAGGACUUGCAUCAAAAAAUGACCCCUGCAAAGGAGCCCAAAUUUAAUAGGAUCAGACUGGGGGUAAAGUUGUAUCCCAGGCAUUGUCAACAAUAACAGAGCAACCUGCUGGCCAUUAGCGGACACCCAGAGCUAGGUGUCAGAUAGCUCAGCAGAGAGACCAGGGACAGAGAGCCCCAGAGGGCCCUGCUGAAAUCACUGUCACCCCAGGGUGGCAUGUCCUCUGAGGAUUGACACCACAGGCUUCACACUGCAGCAGGAAUAGAGUUCGCUUGCUCUCUUUUCUUGUCUCUCUUUCCUUAAAAGACAUAAAAUUACAGGAAGCAAUAAUUUAAC